UGAACUUUGAGGGAGAAAUUGGGGGAAUUUUGGGCUCUGGGAAACUUCCAAGAUUUUUAGGAGGGAGAUUUGAAGUUUUUUUAGGUGAAAUUUGGGAGAUUUUGGGGUUUGAGGAGAGCUCACCUGAAGAGACCCCAAAUCUGGGGGGGCUUUGGGUGGGUCUGGCAUCACCUGAGGAGGAGAAAAAAAACCCAAAACUUGUGGAGAUUUUGUGACCAAAUUUGGUGGAUUUCAGGUUUUUUUUAAAACCUCUUUGAACCCCCAAUUUUAAAGUUUUUCGCAGACUUUGGAACCUUUUAAAAACCCCAAAUUUGAAGGGAUUUUAGGACCAAAUUUACAGGAUAUUUCCACGCUCUGAAGCCCCUAAUCCCCCCAAAAUUUGAGGCGAUUUCGGCGAUUUUGGGGGUGUUUUAAAACCUCUUUAUCCCCCCCAAUUUUAGAACGGGUUCGCACCCCGUGAACCGCAAAAAUUGUGACGUUUCUCGAGAACUUUUGGAGCUUUUUUAGGAGGAUCCGGAGCUGUUUUAUGAACCUGGGGGGCCCCAAAUUAAUGGGAUUUUUGAGGGGGGGUGAGGAUGGUCUUUAGGUGAAUUCCAGGGUGAGGCGCCCCUUCACUCCCCCCGCAACUUCGGGGGGGUUUUUGGGGUGUUUUAGAGGAUUUUGGAGUUUUUAAAACCCUCCCAAAUUUGAGGCGGGGUCGCCCCCCCCCGUUUUUACCUCAGGGAGCGGCGGCGGAUCCAAAAUGGCGGCGCGUCCUGAGGGGGGGAAGAAAGUGGGCGUGGCUUCCCUCUCUGUGACGUCAUUCCCUCACUCCCGCCCUCACUUAAGAUGGCGUCCGCCCUCUUUCCUCCAUAGUGCGCAUGCGCCAGCUCGUUCCGCGCUGCCAUUGGCUGAUUCUUUUCCCGCCUCUCUCCCCUUUGGCCACGCCCAUCUAAGGGCAGCCCUUCAGCAAAAUGGCGUUUCCCGCCUUUCCAAACCGACCAAUCAGACGCGUCGCUUUUGGCGGGCAACGCCCCCUCAGGGCCGCCUAAGCCCCGCCCAUCUUCCCCUCAUCCCUCAGGCCGCCAUGAUGGCGGCGGCGACCCCGCGGCUGCGGCCGCUGCUCCGCGCCCUCACAAUUCAGAGGUUUCGGGGUCCCCGUUGGAGCUGCGGAGGCGCCCCCGGGUUGGGCCCGGCCGUGAGGGGAGUGGCGAGCGCGGGAGAGCAGGUGAGGAUUUAAAGGGGAAAUUUU
RNAcentral lists this long non-coding RNA (1231 nucleotides) under Parus major (Great Tit). RNAcentral's name for it is "lncRNA (ENSPMJG00000002132.1)". The record is from RNAcentral. Lineage: Eukaryota; Metazoa; Chordata; Aves; Passeriformes; Paridae.